This 463-nucleotide ribosomal RNA is filed under the name uncultured Pelotomaculum sp. RNAcentral's name for it is "bacterial SSU rRNA". It matches the Rfam family "Bacterial small subunit ribosomal RNA", at positions 921 to 1382 of the family's 1533-position model. Lineage: Bacteria; Bacillati; Bacillota; Clostridia; Eubacteriales; Desulfotomaculaceae. The record is from RNAcentral.
CCGCACAAGCGGUGGAGCAUGUGGUUUAAUUCGACGCAACGCGAAGAACCUUACCAGGGCUUGACAUCCCCUGACCGCGUAUGAAAGUACGUUUUCACCCUCGGGUGACAGGGAGACAGGUGGUGCAUGGUUGUCGUCAGCUCGUGUCGUGAGAUGUUGGGUUAAGUCCCGCAACGAGCGCAACCCCUACGUUUAGUUGCUAACGCGUGAAGGCGAGCACUCUAGACGAACUGCCGUUGACAAAACGGAGGAAGGUGGGAUGACGUCAAAUCAUCAUGCCCCUUAUGUUCUGGGCUACACACGUGCUACAAUGGCCGGUACAGACGGAGGCGAAGCCGCGAGGCGGAGCAAAUCCGAAAAAGCCGGUCUCAGUUCGGAUUGCAGGCUGCAAUUCGCCUGCAUGAAGUCGGAAUCGCUAGUAAUCGCAGGUCAGCAUACUGCGGUGAAUACGUUCCCGGGCCUU